RNAcentral lists this non-coding RNA (29 nucleotides) under Mus musculus (house mouse). The record is from RNAcentral. Lineage: Eukaryota; Metazoa; Chordata; Mammalia; Rodentia; Muridae.
UAUCUAAAAGUCACAUGCUUCCAAUAUGC